RNAcentral lists this unclassified non-coding RNA (345 nucleotides) under soil metagenome. RNAcentral describes it as "partial contains 5.8S ribosomal RNA, internal transcribed spacer 2, and large subunit ribosomal RNA". The stretch from base 1 to 121 matches the Rfam family "5.8S ribosomal RNA", at positions 35 to 154 of the family's 154-position model. The record is from RNAcentral.
GAUGAAGAACGUAGCGAAAUGCGAUAAGUAAUGCGAAUUGCAGAAUUUCCGUGAGUCAUCGAAUCUUUGAACGCACAUUGCGCCCACUGGUAUUCCGGUGGGCAUGCCUGUUCGAGCGUCAUUAUCCUCCCUCAAACCCCGGGUUUGGUGUUGGACCCAAGUUGUGUGAACAACUGGUCUCAAAGACAAUGACGGCGUCCGUGGGACCCUCGGUGCAACGAGCUUUUAGGAGCACGCAUCGAGUUGCAAGGACCUUCCGGGCCGGUCUCCUUUAACAUUUUACAAGGUUGACCUCGGAUCAGGUAGGAAUACCCGCUGAACUUAAGCAUAUCAAUAAGCGGAGGA